This 200-nucleotide unclassified non-coding RNA is filed under the name soil metagenome. RNAcentral's name for it is "partial contains internal transcribed spacer 2 and large subunit ribosomal RNA". The record is from RNAcentral.
GGGGGUUUUAUUUUUUGCAGGCUUUGGAAACAAGGUCUGCUCCCCUGAAAUGCAUUAGUGGUAUCUGAGCAGUAACUACUACAGGUGUGAUAAUUUAUCUAUGCCUUUGGUUACCACUGCGUGAACAGAUUACACUGCUUCUGAAAUCAUGUUUUGACAAAUUUGACCUCAAAUCAGGUAGGACUACCCGCUGAACUUAA